GGUGAGGUGGCCGAGAGGCUGAAGGCGCUCCCCUGCUAAGGGAGUAUGCGGUCAAAAGCUGCAUCCGGGGUUCGAAUCCCCGCCUCGCCGCCA
RNAcentral lists this transfer RNA (93 nucleotides) under Escherichia coli. RNAcentral describes it as "tRNA-Ser". It matches the Rfam family "tRNA". From Rfam's summary of the family: Transfer RNA (tRNA) molecules are approximately 80 nucleotides in length. Lineage: Bacteria; Pseudomonadati; Pseudomonadota; Gammaproteobacteria; Enterobacterales; Enterobacteriaceae. RNAcentral also lists the same sequence under 3 other names. The record is from RNAcentral.